Molecule: ribosomal RNA, 452 nt
Filed under: uncultured Pelotomaculum sp.
Lineage: Bacteria; Bacillati; Bacillota; Clostridia; Eubacteriales; Desulfotomaculaceae
Description: bacterial SSU rRNA
Rfam family: Bacterial small subunit ribosomal RNA
Source: RNAcentral
CGGUGGAGCAUGUGGUUAAUUCGACGCAACGCGAAGAACCUUACAGGGCUUGACAUCCCCUGACCGCGUAUGAAAGUACGUUUUCACCCUCGGGUGACAGGGAGACAGGUGGUGCAUGGUUGUCGUCAGCUCGUGUCGUGAGAUGUUGGGUUAAGUCCCGCAACGAGCGCAACCCCUACGUUUAGUUGCUAACGCGUGAGGGCGAGCACUCUAGACGAACUGCCGUUGACAAAACGGAGGAAGGUGGGAUGACGUCAAAUCAUCAUGCCCCUUAUGUUCUGGGCUACACACGUGCUACAAUGGCCGGUACAGACGGACGCAAAGCCGCGAGGUGGAGCAAAUCCGAAAAAGCCGGUCUCAGUUCGGAUUGCAGGCUGCAAUUCGCCUGCAUGAAGUCGGAAUCGCUAGUAAUCGCAGGUCAGCAUACUGCGGUGAAUACGUUCCCGGGCCUU